RNAcentral lists this long non-coding RNA (431 nucleotides) under Salvia miltiorrhiza (redroot sage). RNAcentral describes it as "long non-coding RNA (SMIL_LNC003118)". The record is from RNAcentral. Lineage: Eukaryota; Viridiplantae; Streptophyta; Magnoliopsida; Lamiales; Lamiaceae.
AGCAUGGAGUGUAAGGAACAUGUUGAAGAGAAGAGUUUUGAGAGAAUCGAGCCCAAAAAUCGAGAAAAGACGAAGAUUCUGGAGUCGGGACGGAAAAGGAGCAGUUCGGCGGUCAAAGGGAGUUGACCGCCGAAUUUCGGUGAUUUAAAGGGUGAAAACGGCGACCAAGACGGCGAUCGCCGGCCAGGUCGCCGAAUUCCCUGUCUGAAUUUUGGCCUUCGGAGAGAAAAACGGCGAUCGCCGUUUUCAUGAAGAAAUUUGCCCAUUUUCGGCGACCAGUUCGGCGACCGCCGAACGGGUCGCCGUUUUGAGGCGUGUUUUAUUUUCCUUCCGCGUUUUUACGAUUUUUCAAGUUAUUUUCGGUUUAGAACUUGGUUUUUCACCCUAAGACUAUAAAUAGGUCCUCUUUAGACCUAUCUAGGGUUCCCAGC